AGGAAUUGGCGGGGGAGCACCGCAACGGGAGGAGCGUGCGGUUUAAUUGGAUUCAACACCGGAAAACUCACCAAGGGCGACUGUUACAUGAAGGCCAGGCCGACGACCUUGCCGGAUUUUCAGAGAGGUGGUGCAUGGCCGUCGUCAGUUCGUACCGUAAGGCGUUCUCUUAAGUGAGAUAACGAACGAGACCCUCACCGAUAAUUGCUACUUCUUCCUCCGGGGAGGAGGCACAUUAUCGGGACCGCUGGCGCUAAGCCAGAGGAAGGAGAGGUCAACGGUAGGUCAGUAUGCCCCGAAUCUCUUGGGCUACACGCGCGCUACAAAGGGCGGGACAAUGGGCUCCGACGCCGAGAGGCGGAGGCAAUCCCGAAACCCGUCCGUAGUUCGGAUUGAGGGCUGUAACCCGCCCUCAUGAAGCUGGAUUCCGUAGUAAUCGCGAAUCAACAACUCGCGGUGAAUAUGCCCCUGCUCCUUGCACACACCGC
Molecule: ribosomal RNA, 488 nt
Filed under: uncultured euryarchaeote
Lineage: Archaea; Methanobacteriati; Methanobacteriota
Also listed under: 1 other name
Description: bacterial SSU rRNA
Rfam family: Archaeal small subunit ribosomal RNA
Source: RNAcentral